This 738-nucleotide ribosomal RNA is filed under the name uncultured bacterium. Its description in RNAcentral is "bacterial SSU rRNA". It matches the Rfam family "Bacterial small subunit ribosomal RNA", at positions 8 to 794 of the family's 1533-position model. The record is from RNAcentral.
AGAGUUUGAUCCUGGCUCAGAACGAACGCUGGCGGCAGGCCUAACACAUGCAAGUCGAGCGCCCCGCAAGGGGAGCGGCGGACGGGUGAGUAACGCGUGGGAAUUUUCCUCAAGGUACGGAACAACUCAGGGAAACUUGGGCUAAUACCGUAUGAUGUCUAGCGACCAAAGAUUUAUCGCCUUGGGAUAAGCCCGCGUCAGAUUAGGUAGUUGGUGGGGUAACGGCCUACCAAGCCUGCGAUCUGUAGCUGGUCUGAGAGGACGAUCAGCCACAUUGGGACUGAGACACGGCCCAAACUCCUACGGGAGGCAGCAGUGGGGAAUCUUGCGCAAUGGGCGAAAGCCUGACGCAGCCAUGCCGCGUGAAUGAUGAAGGUCUUAGGAUUGUAAAGUUCUUUCGCCCGUGACGAUGAUGACGGUAACGGGAGAAGAAGCCCCGGCUAACUUCGUGCCAGCAGCCGCGGUAAUACGAAGGGGGCUAGCGUUGUUCGGAAUUACUGGGCGUAAAGCGCGCGUAGGCGGUUUUGCAAGCCAGAGGUGAAAUGCCUGAGCUCAACUUAGGAUUGCCUUUGGGACUGUGAGGCUUUGAGGACUGGAGAGGUGAGUGGAAUUCCCAGUGUAGAGGUGAAAUUCGUAGAUAUUGGGAAGAACACCGGUGGCGAAGGCGGCUCACUGGCCAGUUUCUGACGCUAAAGCGCGAAAGCGUGGGGAUCAAACAGGAUUAGAUACCCUGGUAGU